CCAAAAAGAAAGCCCAUAAGCGUGUAUUGUCACCUUUGACCACUGUAGCAAUGGCAGCAUUCAUUUUCUGUACUGCUCAUAGACAAAAUAUCUUCAAACCAUUCCUAACAUUGACAGGAAGAGGAAAGCAACUCUUCAAACAUUCAAAAACCAGUAUUUUUGUAAAGUUUUCAGUUUCAGAGCAGAGAGAAGUGCCAGAGACGGAAAAACCAGAGGUGUGUAACAAUGCCACUCAAACUCUCAGCUACCUGAGGAUUCAGAAGAUUUAUCCUGUCUUCAGUAACAAGGCCAACAAGAUUUGGUGAUCAGUGGGACCAGUGUGA
Cyanistes caeruleus (blue tit) is the source of this 323-nucleotide non-coding RNA. Lineage: Eukaryota; Metazoa; Chordata; Aves; Passeriformes; Paridae. The record is from RefSeq and is a predicted model, not a curated record.